Molecule: long non-coding RNA, 680 nt
Organism: Mauremys reevesii (Reeves's turtle)
Lineage: Eukaryota; Metazoa; Chordata; Testudines; Geoemydidae
Exons: 3
Source: RefSeq, a predicted model, not a curated record
CACACCCCGCUCUUGCCUCCAGCACUGCAGGACUGUCUGAUGCCAAGGCAACUCCAUGUGUGAGGCUUAAAACAAACAACAAGGGAGGGUCUAAGAAUCUGCUGCUGAAACGCACACAGCCUCCAUCACCAGGAAGUCAUCACAUGCUGUAAAUGGAAUGAAGACCUGGUUCCAGGCUGGGGCUGCGUGGCUGGGACUGUUUUUACAUGAUAAUCACACCGUUCCAAUCGUGCCAGUGUAAAUUCAGCUAAGGUUGCAGGCAGAGCUGAUAAACAGGUUUUGGAGACACAAACAACAGUAGCUGGUCCCAUAAGAGCCCACCUUGUCUAAUAUUCUGGGACCAACAUGGCUACUACAACAUUGCAAAAAGACACCAGAAACUAAAGUGAACCACAGAGGAUUAUCCUGACUAUGGGGAGGAAACAAUGGAUUUGGGGGGAAUAUAAGGGGAAGGCAAAAGGCAGUACACUUUGCAUUCAUGAAAGAGAGAUCCCAGCCACGUUGCUUGGAGAUGCUGAGAGAUUGCUUUAGGUGAGAUAAACAACUUUAGACAAGGGUUUAGUGUGUUAAGUUUAGACUCUAAGAAGUGUGUUAUACCUUUUGUUUAAUAUGUAACCAUUUCUGUUUCCAUUAUUACCCUUACUCCGUAUCUUUUAAAUCUUAAUCUUUGAUAAUAAAUU